Molecule: small nucleolar RNA, 131 nt
Organism: Capra hircus (goat)
Lineage: Eukaryota; Metazoa; Chordata; Mammalia; Artiodactyla; Bovidae
Source: Ensembl
GGGUUGCACGUAGAGCAGAGGGCUUAAAUAAAUGGCUCAUCGGUUUGCAACCCACCAGACAGGAAUCUGGGUUCACUGUGACAAGAGGCACAAAAACUUCUAGUGUUUCAAUGAACAAAUAUCCAAACUGU